Molecule: long non-coding RNA, 261 nt
Filed under: Lathyrus oleraceus (garden pea)
Lineage: Eukaryota; Viridiplantae; Streptophyta; Magnoliopsida; Fabales; Fabaceae
Description: Pisum sativum (pea) long non-coding RNA (PSAT_LNC025247)
Source: RNAcentral
UUAGAUUUUUUCCUUUUCCGAUUCUCACUCAAUUCUCCAUCAUUUCUCUUGAUCUUUGGUUGUCUUAAGUCCUACCAAUAUAAGCAACAAUAUUGAGUUGCUUUGAGGCCAAAUCGAAGCAACUCAGUUCUUCCACCUCAAUUUUCAAUUCCACAUAUCUACUUAUAUAGUGAGAAUUGGGAAAUUUAGAGGCCAGAUUCGUGCUCUCCGGCGUUUUUCCUUUGAAUUGGUAUAUAGAUCUUAAAUUUUGGUGAACUUUGG